RNAcentral lists this ribosomal RNA (750 nucleotides) under Staphylococcus sp. 264. RNAcentral's name for it is "bacterial SSU rRNA". It matches the Rfam family "Bacterial small subunit ribosomal RNA", at positions 50 to 786 of the family's 1533-position model. The record is from RNAcentral. Lineage: Bacteria; Bacillati; Bacillota; Bacilli; Caryophanales; Staphylococcaceae.
UAUACAUGCAAGUCGAGCGAACAGAUAAGGAGCUUGCUCCUUUGACGUUAGCGGCGGACGGGUGAGUAACACGUGGGUAACCUACCUAUAAGACUGGAAUAACUCCGGGAAACCGGGGCUAAUGCCGGAUAACAUUUAGAACCGCAUGGUUCUAAAGUGAAAGAUGGUUUUGCUAUCACUUAUAGAUGGACCCGCGCCGUAUUAGCUAGUUGGUAAGGUAAUGGCUUACCAAGGCAACGAUACGUAGCCGACCUGAGAGGGUGAUCGGCCACACUGGAACUGAGACACGGUCCAGACUCCUACGGGAGGCAGCAGUAGGAAUCUCUCUCGGGUGGCAUGGGAAGGUGCAACGCCGCGGACCGUGAUGAAGGGUUUCGGCUCGUAAAACUCUGUUAUUAGGGAAGAACAAACGUGUAAGUAACUGUGCACGUCUUGACGGUACCUAAUCAGAAAGCCACGGCUAACUACGUGCCAGCAGCCGCGGUAAUACGUAGGUGGCAAGCGUUAUCCGGAAUUAUUGGGCGUAAAGCGCGCGUAGGCGGUUUCUUAAGUCUGAUGUGAAAGCCCACGGCUCAACCGUGGAGGGUCAUUGGAAACUGGGAGACUUGAGUGCAGAAGAGGAAAGUGGAAUUCCAUGUGUAGCGGUGAAAUGCGCAGAGAUAUGGAGGAACACCAGUGGCGAAGGCGACUUUCUGGUCUGUAACUGACGCUGAUGUGCGAAAGCGUGGGGAUCAAACAGGAUUAGAUACC